GCUUCAAGCGAACCCUCUUCCAAAACCACGAAUUCAGAUUUGCGGUGAUCAUCUACCCGCGCAAGGUGAAGAUCUGAUCUUCCUAAUAGUUUUAAAAGUCUUAAUUCUUACCUAAUUACGAAAGGUCUCGAAACAACGUUCAUGCGAUGAACGUCGAACCCGUGCAUGCCGAUUCCGCUGCCAUCUGAAAAAUUUUUGAAAUAUCAGCGGCAUGGGUGGGUUCCCAAUAGUGGUAUCAGAGCCUAGGCUUC
RNAcentral lists this long non-coding RNA (251 nucleotides) under Phoenix dactylifera (date palm). RNAcentral's name for it is "long non-coding RNA (PDAC_LNC019633)". The record is from RNAcentral. Lineage: Eukaryota; Viridiplantae; Streptophyta; Magnoliopsida; Arecales; Arecaceae.